RNAcentral lists this ribosomal RNA (38 nucleotides) under Postia lowei. Its description in RNAcentral is "partial 28S ribosomal RNA". Lineage: Eukaryota; Fungi; Basidiomycota; Agaricomycetes; Polyporales; Postiaceae. The record is from RNAcentral.
CUGACCUCAAAUCAGGUAGGGCUACCCGCUGAACUUAA